This is an RNA transcript of Athalia rosae (coleseed sawfly), 3123 nucleotides long. RefSeq lists it as uncharacterized. The transcript is spliced from 15 exons. NCBI's taxonomy places the organism in Eukaryota, Metazoa, Arthropoda, Insecta, Hymenoptera, Athaliidae. The record is from RefSeq and is a predicted model, not a curated record.
CGUAAUUACCCAAAAUUCUCUGCGUGCUGUAGAACAAGGGGCAACAUCAAAUGGCGCAAAACUCUUGAAAUUUCAACAAAUUGUUUUCCUUACUUCUUUGUUACGUCUUAGAUUUUCACUCCCAUUCUAUUCAACCGUCAGUCGAUUUUAUCAAUCCAUUGUCAUAUCACGGUAACGAAUUUCACCACACUUGAAGUGUUCAUGAUUAAGUGGGACUAUAGGGUUAAUGGACAGAAAUUCUGUGGAGAGACUGCAAACUAGGCACAGCAGCCUUUGGCAACGGAUACACUUUUGUUUAUACAAUUGUGCUGCCGUUAACAUUUGAAAAAAAUUAUGUCAACGCUAUACCACAGCUGCCUUUGUUUCAUGUCUCUUGAAGAGAAUAGAACUAUUUGAAUUCAGAGUAUCGCAACUUCCUAUAGAAAUGCACAGCCGAGUACUAGCAGCAAUACAGUGAUGGGGAAUAUUGUAUAAAUUCCCAUUCUAGGAUCACAAGUUGAUCUUCAAUCCUUACAAUUAUCGAUCUUGAUAAAAAACUGCCCUACGGGUCCAUUGUUGCAUCGCAAGGUGGCGUUAGCUUCCAUUUAAACAUUUGGAAGGAUGUCGCACGGAGGAAUCGUGAUUGUCCUACGGAGGAAUCGUGCUUGUCGUAACGGGCUCAUUCAUCUACUUCCAUCAAAUUCUCUUCGCUUCCACCUGUUUCGACCGUCACUCAAUCCAGCCGACUACCCUGGAACUCAUUGUCAGGCCAGAUCCUGAAUCUACCUCAAAAAUUGCAGUUCUUACAUCCACAAAUGGAUAAUCCGUUGUAUUUGGUUUGCCCGCCAUGGGGACUGGGAUGACGUCACCGUCAAAUCGCCGGUUGGUGAUCAACAUUGCGGUCAGUGACUCCGGUACCGGCAACAGGAAGGCUAAGGAAGAUGACUUCGUUGCUUUUAUCCAGUCGAUUUCUAGAGCAGCGACUCCUGGGUGAUUAUCCGGCAAAUAUUGUCCGUUGUCAACUUUCAAAGCGACGUUCGUGAUCGCCGCGAUAUCCAGAGGGUUUGUCUCCAGCGGAAGUUCUCUCCCACGAUGGUACGGUUUGAAUUCAGCAAGUGGUAAUCUUACGGUCGCGAAUUCCUUCUCAGGAGCCUGUAAGAGAUCGAAGUUCGUCUCGCACCGAACAGAAGCAAACCCGGAUCCGUUCGUUUGGGGGUUGAAAAGGGUGAACAGUAUCGCACGCUGGAAUAACUGCGUUUUUUGCAUCACCAUCACUGCUUUUGACAUCCCCGACGAUCUCACCGUAUCCGAAUGCUCCGACCACGAUCCCGCCUGGUCCGGACCGCGGGUGAAGUCGAACAAGGUGCCCGCGAGGAACUGAGAGACGUUUCUGCAGAACUGCUAUUUUCGCUGUCAGGCAAAAGCUCGAUUCUCCCCUGGAGGAACUCUAUGCGGACGAGAGAGCAGCGGGGAUGUCGAACGGUUCGUGACUCUCAAACGUCACCCUACAUGGAAUCCAACGUCCUUGCGUGUCCCGAUGACAUCCAAACACCGACAGACUCAAACAGGGACGAUACUCCACCCUGAUGAACGGGCUCGUAGACUCCGCCGUAAACUUGAAGUCCGAAGUUGGUGAUCGAAGUUACGUCCAAGGGAUCCGCAUCAGGAACUACUCUGCCCCUGUAGUAGGCUUUGAAGUUCGAAAUAGGCAACGAAAUCGUGGUGAAAUCUUCCGCGGAGAUUGGGACCUGCGAUCAAACCGAUCGUCUACAACUUCUGAACGAAACCAGCAAAUCCGGCGCCGUUUGGCUGGGGGUUUAGGAGGGUGAAGAAAAUCGCCCUUUGGAAUUCCUGGGUCGUUUGCAGGACUAUGACUGCCUUAGAUUUUCCAACCGUUCUUACUGUGUCCGAUUGCUCUGUCCAGGGGGAAACGUCAUCUAAGGUCGUAAAGUCGAAUAGGAUACGGUCGCUGUAAGAAGUGGAAGGGAGGUCGUUCAUUUACUUUCAUAAAUUUUCACGAGGACCGGGAACAAGCAAUUAGCGGUGACCGCGUCUGUCUCUGCUCAGAAUUCGUUACGCGAAUAUCACGACCGUUUCCGCAGAUCUUGGGAGUAUCUCCAGGCGAUAGUUCGAGUUCGUAUAUCGCAUAAUUGGCUCCUGGAUCGGUUAUGGAACUGCAUCUGAACGAGUAUGUAGAAAGUACUGCACCCGAAGCAAACACAUCACUUGGGAAGAAAAAAAAAUGUACGAGAAGCCAGCCGAUGGAAAGUAAAAGGAAAAGGGAGACACGAAUUUGCGGAAAAACUCGAUGGAGGAAGAAAAGUGUAUCGGCGCAGUUCGAAGGGAUGGACGGUUGGUCGGCUCGCAGGGUAGGCGACCUGGUGCACUACUUUCGCAUAUUGCAACACCUGCUCCGAUGCGGUGCACGAAGAUGAACAACAUAUCUUCGUCUCGAACAGCGAGAACGUAGGGACAAAAAUCUACCAGGACGAUUACUGUGAGGUCUGACUUCGCUGAUUGCGGGAUCAGCGGCUACCAAAGCCGCAAGUAUCACCACCAGGCUAAUGGGCGCCAACAUCAUCUGCAAUGCAAAAACGAAACGAUGUAGGUAAAUGGAUGUGGAAGAUAGUGCGAAUAUCGAAUUGGAAGCAACUCGUUGGAAUAAUCGCCACGGUGGACCUUACCUUGUUUAAGAAGAUGUGAGAGAACUGAUUUCUGACCGAGAACUGCACUCUCGGAUGUGCUGCUGCCUGGAAUUCGAAGUCCCAAGUUCUCUGAACUGCGAAACGUUUAACACAAUCGCCUUCGCAUCCGCCUACAACCCAUCAUCUACUUGGCUACAACUUGGCGCUCGUUUCUCCAGAUUGCGAAGCGUUAUCGCUGUGGUACCUCCUCACGGCCGAAGCUGCUCAGAGCCUGCCUAUGCGGGCGUUCGAGUCUCUCUAGCGUAUUUUUAUACUAUAGAUAAUAAGGAAUACCGCAAACCGGGCAGCUCGGGGACUGGGGAAAAUCGUCUUGCGAGUUACUCUCCGCCUACCGCACGACGUUCAGAUUUGUCUGAAAUGUGGAGCGAGGGAGGCCAGGAUCUUUUCAAUGAUUGUCUUACCGGCCGCAGGAGUGAACGCGAGGAUUGAAUAAGACAAU